AUUUAGUGCUAUUGCUUUAACAUCAAUCGAAGCAAAAAUGGCAUCAAUGUAUGCGUCUAAAAAUGUUAAAUUUAGAUGGAGACAAUCCAGAAAUGAGCUGCCAGGAAGUGAUCGAUUUCGGACACGAAGAUUGAGAAGUGCCUGGAUACAAGGCUAGUAUUGUUAACAUCAUCUGAUACAAUCAACUGGAACAAAGCUGAAAUGGCUGUCUGACCUGACUUAAAAAUUGGAUGGCAGUACAUCAGACUAGAAUAUUACAAGUAUUGAGGUGGACAAAAUGAAACCUGAGCCUACCAAAGCUGACAGAUUGCACAAGAAACACAUAAAUGCAGAUUGGAAGAUUCAUUCUCUGGAAAGUAGAAAAGGGCAUGUUACAUACUGUUAUCACUGCCAUGACAGAAACCAUAUUGAGGAGCUGGUCCACCUGUAGGAAUAAUUGCGCUAUUGGUUGGAG
Molecule: long non-coding RNA, 454 nt
Organism: Mya arenaria
Lineage: Eukaryota; Metazoa; Mollusca; Bivalvia; Myida; Myidae
Exons: 3
Source: RefSeq, a predicted model, not a curated record